Molecule: long non-coding RNA, 449 nt
Organism: Cucumis melo (muskmelon)
Lineage: Eukaryota; Viridiplantae; Streptophyta; Magnoliopsida; Cucurbitales; Cucurbitaceae
Exons: 3
Source: RefSeq, a predicted model, not a curated record
CAAGUGAUGACAAUUCUAAUCAUCUUGUUAGAAGAGUACCAUUAUCGACGCAUAUUCGUACUCAUGCUCCUACUCCAAUCAUAAAUUCUCCACCGGAGAAGUCAUUGCUAAAGGUAGAUGGUCUUCCAAUGAUCCAUUUGUUCUUGUCCACCAUGUACCUCUUGGCCCCAAUGUAGUUCGUGUGUCGGUUGAUAUGGUGAAAAUACCAAAUUCCUUCUUAUGAAGGCCUAUCUCUAACAUUAUUGUUAUUGAUGAUGCUCUGGGCACUACUGCAGCAUGGCCAAUGGAUAAAGUCAAACUAUGUGAUUGAUGUGGAGAAAACAUUGGAGCAACACAUAUAUGUUGGAUAAUUUAACAAUUGCUACAAUUUGAACAUCUUUUUUUAUCCUCUCACACUAGAAGAAAUCUGGUCUUUAAUGUCGGGUGGAAAAAAUGAAAAAUAAGCUUUA